UACGGGGGGUGCAAGCGUUGUCCGGAAUCAUUGGGCGUAAAGCGUUCGUAGGCGGUAAAGUAAGUCAGAUGUUAAAGCCCGGGGCUCAACUCCGGUUCGGCAUUUGAUACUACUUAACUGGAAUGCGGUAGAGGUAAAGGGAAUUCCUGGUGUAGCGGUGAAAUGCGUAGAUAUCAGGAGGAACAUCGGUGGCGAAAGCGCUUUACUGGGCCGUUAUUGACGCUGAGGAACGAAAGCUAGGGUAGCAA
Molecule: ribosomal RNA, 248 nt
Filed under: uncultured Lachnospiraceae bacterium
Lineage: Bacteria; Bacillati; Bacillota; Clostridia; Lachnospirales; Lachnospiraceae
Description: partial 16S ribosomal RNA
Rfam family: Bacterial small subunit ribosomal RNA
Source: RNAcentral